AAGGGAGCGUAGGCGGCUGAUUAAGUCAGCGGUGAAAGGUAGCAGCUUAACUGUUUUACAUGCCGUUGAUACUGGUUAGCUUGAGUUGACAGAAGGCAGAUAGAAUUCCUGGUGUGGCGGUGAAAUGCUUAGAUACCAGGAGGAAUACCGAUUGCGAAGGCAGCUUACUAUGGUCUUAUUGACGCUGAGGCACGAAAGCGUGGGGAUCAAACAGGAUUAGAUACCCGAGU
Molecule: ribosomal RNA, 230 nt
Filed under: uncultured bacterium
Lineage: Bacteria
Description: partial 16S ribosomal RNA
Rfam family: Bacterial small subunit ribosomal RNA
Source: RNAcentral